RNAcentral lists this ribosomal RNA (411 nucleotides) under uncultured bacterium. RNAcentral's name for it is "bacterial SSU rRNA". It matches the Rfam family "Bacterial small subunit ribosomal RNA", at positions 350 to 751 of the family's 1533-position model. The record is from RNAcentral.
AGCAGUGGGGAAUUUUGGACAAUGGGCGCAAGCCUGAUCCAGCAAUGCCGCGUGAGUGAAGAAGGCCUUCGGGUUGUAAAGCUCUUUUGUCAGGGAAGAAACGGUGAGGGCUAAUAUCCUUUGCUAAUGACGGUACCUGAAGAAUAAGCACCGGCUAACUACGUGCCAGCAGCCGCGGUAAUACGUAGGGUGCAAGCGUUAAUCGGAAUUACUGGGCGUAAAGCGUGCGCAGGCGGUUUUGUAAAGUUUGUCGUGAAAGCCCCGGGCUCAACCUGGGAAUUGCGAUGAAGACUGCAAGGCUUGAAUCUGGCAGAGGGGGGUAGAAUUCCACGUGUAGCAGUGAAAUGCGUAGAGAUGUGGAGGAACACUCGAUGGCGAAGGCAGCCCCCUGGGUCAAGAUUGACGCUCAUG